Molecule: ribosomal RNA, 253 nt
Filed under: uncultured bacterium
Lineage: Bacteria
Description: partial 16S ribosomal RNA
Rfam family: Bacterial small subunit ribosomal RNA
Source: RNAcentral
UACGAAGGGGGCUAGCGUUGCUCGGAAUCACUGGGCGUAAAGCGCACGUAGGCGGAUCUUUAAGUCAGGGGUGAAAUCCUGGAGCUCAACUCCAGAACUGCCUUUGAUACUGGGAAUCUCGAGUCCGGAAGAGGUGAGUGGAACUCCGAGUGUAGAGGUGAAAUUCGUAGAUAUUCGGAAGAACACCAGUGGCGAAGGCGGCUCACUGGUCCGGUACUGACGCUGAGGUGCGAAAGCGUGGGGAGCAAACAGG